AAGGCUGACCCGAGGACCUUGCAAGGCGCUGGAUCUCGGCGGCGGCAAAUCUCCUGGUGCUGCGGCUGGUGAUGAUGGAGGGGCCGCAAAUCCCCUGUUGCGGCGGCUGGUGACGAGGGAGGAGGGAGGAGGGAGAUGGUGCGACAGUGUGGCGAGGGAGUGAGGAGGGAGGGGUCAGGGGUGUGGCGGCUGGGCACUGGGGGGCUACGGUUCAC
RNAcentral lists this ribosomal RNA (215 nucleotides) under Triticum aestivum (bread wheat). RNAcentral's name for it is "partial small subunit ribosomal RNA". Lineage: Eukaryota; Viridiplantae; Streptophyta; Magnoliopsida; Poales; Poaceae. The record is from RNAcentral.